UUCCGGUUGAUCCUGCCGGACCCUACUGCUAUCGGGGUGGGACUAAGACAUGCGAGUCGUGCGUCUCUAAGCCAUGGUAGAGACGCGGCAUACGGCUCAGUAACACGUGGCUAACCUACCCUUAGGACGGGGACACCCCCGGGAAACCGCGCGCAGGCACAUAACCACCUUUUUCGGCACGCUCAAAGCAUGGCUAUGUACGCACAUAGUUCGUGUAAAACCGCUUUCCUUGACGGAAAAACCUAACCUAAGAAGCUUUGAGCCAACCAUUCACGAUAACACAUCACCGCCAACAGAAAUACAGAAGCACUGGCGUGGCCCAAAACUGGGGUUAAUACCCGAUAGGUGAGGAGGCCUGGAAUGGUUCUUCACCGAAAAGACGUUGAGACCAUGCUUCUCAACGUUGCCUAAGGAUGGGGCCGCGGCCGAUCAGGUUGUUGGUGAGGUAACGGCUCACCAAGCCUAUAACCGGUACGGGCUGUGAGAGCAGGAGCCCGGAGAUGGGCACUGAGACAAGGGCCCAGGCCCUACGGGGCGCAGCAGUCGCGAAAACUCCGCAAUGCGCGAAAGCGUGACGGGGCUACCCCGAGUGCCGUCCGCUGAGGAUGGCUUUUCCCCGGUGUAAUGAGCCGGGGGAAUAAGGAGAGGGCAAGCCUGGUGUCAGCCGCCGCGGUAAUACCAGCUCUCCGAGUGGUAGGGACGAUUAUUGGGCUUAAAGCGUCCGUAGCCGGCCCAGCAAGUCUCCCGUUAAAUCCAGCGACCUAAUCGUUGGGCUGCGGAAGAUACUGUUGGGCUAGGGGGCGGGAGAGGCCGACGGUAUUCCCGGGGUAGGGGUGAAAUCCUAUAAUCCCGGGAGGACCACCAGUGGCGAAGGCUGUCGGCUAGAACGCGCUCGACGGUGAGGGACGAAAGCUGGGGGAGCGAACCGGAUUAGAUACCCGGGUAGUCCCAGCCGUAAACGAUGCGGGCUAGGUGUUGGGGUGGCUACGAGCCACCUCAGUGCCGCAGGGAAGCCAUUAAGCCCGCCGCCUGGGGAGUACGGCCGCAAGGCUGAAACUUAAAGGAAUUGGCGGGGGAGCACCACAAGGCGUGAAGCUUGCGGUUUAAUUGGAUUCAACGCCGG
RNAcentral lists this ribosomal RNA (1123 nucleotides) under uncultured archaeon. RNAcentral describes it as "bacterial SSU rRNA". It matches the Rfam family "Archaeal small subunit ribosomal RNA", at positions 1 to 921 of the family's 1478-position model. The record is from RNAcentral.